GAUGAACGCUGGCGGCGUGCCUAAUACAUGCAAGUCGAACGAAACUUCUUUAUCACCGAGUGCUUGCACUCACCGAUAAAGAGUUGAGUGGCGAACGGGUGAGUAACACGUGGGCAACCUGCCCAAAAGAGGGGGAUAACACUUGGAAACAGGUGCUAAUACCGCAUAACCAUAGUUACCGCAUGGUAACUAUGUAAAAGGUGGCUAUACUACCGCUUUUGGAUGGGCCCGCGGCGCAUUAGCUAGUUGGUAGGGUAAAGGCUUACCAAGGCAAUGAUGCGUAGCCGAAUUGAGAGGUUGAUCGGCCACAUUGGGACUGAGACACGGCCCAAACUCCUACGGGAGGCAGCAGUAGGGAAUCUUCCACAAUGGGCGAAAGCCUGAUGGAGUAACGCCGCGUGGGUGAAGAAGGUCUUCGGAUCGUAAAACCCUGUUGUUAGAGAAGAAAGUGCGUGAGAGUAACUGUUCACGUUUCGACGGUAUCUAACCGGAAAGCCACGGCUAACUACGUG
Molecule: ribosomal RNA, 512 nt
Filed under: uncultured bacterium
Lineage: Bacteria
Description: partial 16S ribosomal RNA
Rfam family: Bacterial small subunit ribosomal RNA
Source: RNAcentral